This 345-nucleotide unclassified non-coding RNA is filed under the name soil metagenome. Its description in RNAcentral is "partial contains 5.8S ribosomal RNA, internal transcribed spacer 2, and large subunit ribosomal RNA". The stretch from base 1 to 120 matches the Rfam family "5.8S ribosomal RNA", at positions 35 to 154 of the family's 154-position model. The record is from RNAcentral.
GAUGAAGAACGUAGUGAAAUGCGAUACGUAAUGUGAAUUGCAGAAUUCAGUGAAUCAUCGAGUCUUUGAACGCACAUUGCGCCCCCUGGUAUUCCGGGGGGCAUGCCUGUCCGAGCGUCAUUGCUGCCCUCAAGCACGGCUUGUGUGUUGGGCCUCCGUCCUCCUCCCGGGGGACGGGCCCGAAAGGCAGCGGCGGCACCGCGUCCGGUCCUCGAGCGUAUGGGGCUUCGUCACCCGCUCUUGUAGGCCCGGCCGGCGCUUGCCGACACAUCAAUCUUUUUUCCAGGUUGACCUCGGAGCAGGUAGGGAUACCCGCUGAACUUAAGCAUAUCAAUAAGCGGAGGA